Long non-coding RNA from Zootermopsis nevadensis, 949 nucleotides. RefSeq lists it as uncharacterized. Lineage: Eukaryota; Metazoa; Arthropoda; Insecta; Blattodea; Termopsidae. The record is from RefSeq and is a predicted model, not a curated record.
UGUAGCUAUAGAUGUGCCCGGGGCUCACGUCUCGUAUUGACACGGACUUAGUGUUGCCUGGACUCAGCGCAGAGCGUCACGUUUUGAAUUAUUCGAAUAACAAUCUCACGAGCUUACUCAGAACUAUUCACUGAAUAAGAAUGGCCAAAGGAAAAGGUGGUGGCGGAGGUGGUGGUGGUGGUGGAGGUGGAGGUGGUGGCAGUGGCAGUGCUGGUGCUGGCAGUGGUGGGGGUAAAGGGGAGGAGAAGAAAGCCACAGGUGGUGGAAAGGGAGGGGAGAAAGGUGGUGGCGCCAAGGGAGGAGGUGAAAAGAACGUCAAGAAAGGUGGGAAGAAAUGAUAGUUGUGUAAACACCCGAUGACAUUAUCUCGACAAGACUAGCAGUCAUCGGUAUCAACAUUGUGUGUUAAAUGUGUCCUGUGUUCAGAAAGCAACUGUGUUUUAAUUUUGUGUGCAAGCAGAGUGAUGCAGGCGGAGCUCGAUAAACUUUAUUCUCAAAUUUAAGGAACUGUAUCAACAUGUAGUAUCCAAAUCUUGUGUCAUUCAGUAUCACUUAAUCUUCUGUUAUCAAGAUGAGAUUAUGUCUGCUUGAUUGUUCUGCCUCCAAACGAUGCAAAACAUGGUGAAGGGAAAACUGUCUCUUAAAUUUUUCAUAUUGAUUUGUAAACUGGGGUGUACUCAGAGUAACCUCCACAGGACAAACCAAAGACGAUCACAGAUGAAACGAAUACAAUGUAAAUUAGUCAAAUUUUAAACUCAAUGAGAAUAACAAUUUAGAAGAAAUCAAGAGAAACUAAAAAACGUUAUUUUCCUAUUUGAAGUAAAAAUUGAGGACUGAGCAUUUAUGUUGGCAAGUCUGGUAUGAUGUCAUCCACUUUCUAUUUUUGUUAUGGAGUCCAUAUUAAGUUUUGUAAUUUUAUUGAAGAUUAAAAAUACUUUUUUUCCAUUUC